This 330-nucleotide unclassified non-coding RNA is filed under the name soil metagenome. RNAcentral's name for it is "partial contains 5.8S ribosomal RNA, internal transcribed spacer 2, and large subunit ribosomal RNA". The stretch from base 1 to 120 matches the Rfam family "5.8S ribosomal RNA", at positions 35 to 154 of the family's 154-position model. The record is from RNAcentral.
GAUGAAGAACGCAGCGAAAUGCGAUAAGUAGUGUGAAUUGCAGAAUUCAGUGAAUCAUCGAAUAUUUGAACGCACAUUGCGCCCCUUGGUAUUCCAUGGGGCAUGCCUGUUCGAGCGUCAUUUGUACCCUCAAGCGUUGCUUGGUGUUGGGCGUCUUGUCGUAUUACGACUCGCCUUAAAUACAUUGGCAGCCGGCACUUUGGCCUAGGAGCGCAGCACAUUUUGCGAUCGUAGCCCGUUGUACUGGCGUCCAUCAAGAACAUUUACCACGUUUGACCUCGGAUCAGGUAGGGAUACCCGCUGAACUUAAGCAUAUCAAUAAGCGGAGGA